GCAAAAUGUUGAAUGAUAUUUCCAUCAAGAAAACAAGUUACAGUCCAUGGGCCCAAAUAAUUUCCCUUAUAUUACCACUUACUGCUGUGGACGGCAAAGAGAGAGAGAGACAGCUGGACCAGGGGAGGUGUGUUAAAUAUCAUUUGGUGUGGUUCCCAUCGGAGAAUAUUGUGAAUACUGCUGAUUAUUAGGUGGAUUCAUUUAUUCUUGAUAAUUAGCAAUUUUGCGGUAAAGCUAUUAGAAUUGGAGAUCUCACACAUUGAGUGUGAUUUUAAUAUCUUAUACAUUACUGCUGUCGUCGCAUGAUUGAUGUACUGUACAUAUUCUCAACAU
This 333-nucleotide unclassified non-coding RNA is filed under the name Hevea brasiliensis (rubber tree). The record is from RNAcentral. Lineage: Eukaryota; Viridiplantae; Streptophyta; Magnoliopsida; Malpighiales; Euphorbiaceae.